ACGGCCGUACCACGCUGAAUAUACCGGUUCUCGUUAGAUCACCGAAGUCAAGCAUCAUUGGGCGCGGUCAGUACUUGGAUGGGUGACCACCUGGGAACACUGCGCGCCGU
This 110-nucleotide ribosomal RNA is filed under the name Caerostris darwini. Lineage: Eukaryota; Metazoa; Arthropoda; Arachnida; Araneae; Araneidae. The record is from RNAcentral.